UUGAGAAGCAUGCUGGAGAUAUCACAAGUGCGAAUGCUGACGUGAGUAACGAUAAUGGGAGUGAAAAACUCCCACGCCGAAAGACCAAGGUUUCCUGCGCAACGCUAAUCGGCGCAGGGUGAGUCGGCCCCUAAGGCGAGGCAGAAAUGCGUAGCUGAUGGGAAACAGGUUAAUAUUCCUGUACUUCUUAUAACUGCGAUGGAGAGACGGAGAAGGCUAUGCCUACCGGGCGUUGGUUGUCCCGGGGAAAGGCUGUAGGCUGAGGUGUUAGGCAAAUCCGGCACCUUAAGGCUGAGAGUCGAGACCACUGGUCCUUUGUGACCGGGAAGUGGUUGAUGCCAUGCUUCCAGGAAAAUCUUCUAAGCUUCAGGUUAUAAGGAACCGUACCCCAAACCGACACAGGUGGUUGGGAUGAGUAUUCUAAGGCGCUUGAGAGAACUCGGGUGAAGGAACUAGGCAAAGUGGUACCGUAACUUCGGGAGAAGGUACGCCGCUGACGGUGAUGAGACUUGCUCUCUGAGCUAUCGGCGGUCGCAGUGAAAAGGCCCCUGCAACUGUUUAUUAAAAACACAGCACUCUGCAAACGCGUAAGCGGACGUAUAGGGUGUGACGCCUGCCCGGUGCCGGAAGGUUAAUUGAUGGGGUUAGCUUCGGCGAAGCUCUUGAUCGAAGCCCCGGUAAACGGCGGCCGUAACUAUAACGGUCCUAAGGUAGCGAAAUUCCUUGUCGGGUAAGUUCCGACCUGCACGAAUGGCGUAAUGAUGGGGGCGCUGUCUCCACCCAAGACUCAGUGAAAUUGAAAUCGCUGUUAAGAUGCAGUGUACCCGCGGCUAGACGGAAAGACCCCGUGAACCUUUACUAUAGCUUCACACUGGACGCUGAUGUUGCCUGUGUAGGAUAGCUGGGAGGCUUUGAACUCCGGACGCCAGUUCGGAGGGAGCCAACCUUGAAAUACCAGCCUGGCAUCAUUGGCGUUCUCACUCAGGUCCGUUAUCCGGAUCGAGGACAGUGUGUGGUGGGUAGUUUGACUGGGGCGGUCUCCUCCUAAAGAGUAACGGAGGAGCACGAAGGUAGGCUAAGUACGGUCGGACAUCGUACGGUUAGUGCAAUGGCAUAAGCCAGCUUAACUGCGAGACAGACACGUCGAGCAGGUACGAAAGUAGGUCAUAGUGAUCC
This 1176-nucleotide ribosomal RNA is filed under the name seawater metagenome. RNAcentral describes it as "bacterial LSU rRNA". It matches the Rfam family "Bacterial large subunit ribosomal RNA", at positions 1261 to 2421 of the family's 2925-position model. The record is from RNAcentral.